CCUACGGGGGGCAGCAGUGAGGAAUAUUGAUCAAUGGACGAGAGUCUGAACCAGCCAAGUAGCGUGAAGGAUGACUGCCCUAUGGGUUGUAAACUUCUUUUAUAUGGGAAUAAAACGUUCCACGUGUGGGAUUUUGUAUGUACCAUAUGAAUAAGGAUCGGCUAACUCCGUGCCAGCAGCCGCGGUAAUACGGAGGAUCCGAGCGUUAUCCGGAUUUAUUGGGUUUAAAGGGAGCGUAGGUGGAUUGUUAAGUCAGUUGUGAAAGUUUGCGGCUCAACCGUAAAAUUGCAGUUGAAACUGGCAGUCUUGAGUACAGUAGAGGUGGGCGGAAUUCGUGGUGUAGCGGUGAAAUGCUUAGAUAUCACGAAGAACUCCGAUUGCGAAGGCAGUUCACUGGACUGCAACUGACACUGAGGCUCGAAAGUGUGGGUAUCAAACAGGAUUAGAUACCCCAGUAGUC
RNAcentral lists this ribosomal RNA (460 nucleotides) under uncultured bacterium. RNAcentral's name for it is "partial 16S ribosomal RNA". It matches the Rfam family "Bacterial small subunit ribosomal RNA", at positions 338 to 795 of the family's 1533-position model. The record is from RNAcentral.